GGGAGUGUCAGAAACCGUGAUUGGCAUGAUAAAGAUUGGCAUGGUGUAUUUUAGGAAAGUUUAUAUUUGAUGUGCUGUAAUUUUUUAACAGUUUUGUGCUGCCUUUAUUAGGUUCGUUUAUAAUUGAUUGAUCCCGUAAUCAUAGGGAUUAAUUCCUUAGAAUUAGCAGUCCAUAUUUCCUAAAAUAUGCUGCAGACUUAUGUAUUUAUAUAGGGGUUAAUAACCUCUUGAAAUAAUAAGAAAAGAUUUCUAUUCUUUCUAAAUCUGAGACUUUUGAUACAAAAGCAGUCUUGUUGGAGGUAGGAGAUGUUGUCAACAUUGUUAAGAGAGCUUGGAACAUUAAGAAUCAGCAGCAAAAGUGUGAGGAGCUUUGGCUGCUGCUGUAAGGUGUCUUGAAAGCGCAGAACCAGAAGUCAGUACUAGAGGGAAAGCUAUUGUUGCUGAAAGGGAGAGCUGAGAAAGAGCAAUUCAAUACAAUGCAUAUGAUAGGCUUAAAGAGAAGCAGGGAUGGAUUGUAUAUGAGAGGAGGAAUAAGAGAGUUAGUUAGAUGGGUUAGUUGGGGGAGCGUACACUUAACUGUCAUACACUUAACUGUCAUACAAUUAAGUGGUUUGGGGGAAAUAAUUGUAUAAAUAGAAGUUGUUUGGUUUAGUAAGGGACUUUUGGACACUUACUUGAUUGACUGGUUUCAUCCAGUGGUAGAGGGUUAAGCCUCUGAUAUCCUUGUUGCAUACUUCAUUCUUUGGGAAUAAUACAAAUAGAUUCUUUUCAUUUCUCUGUGUUCUACUGUUGAGAGAGUAAGGAGAGUGCUUGUUGGGGUUUUCACAUUGAAAACCUAUCAAUUGGUCCGACCUGCCGGAUCCAAUUGUCGAUCGAUCGUGAUGGAGGGGAGAGGAGUGAUGAGCUGUCGCAACUCACACAAAUUUGAUGUGCAAAUAAAUGCAGUAUAGCUAGGGAAUGACCCCUAGGUCGUCUCCCAAAGACCAAUUUUGCGGUUCAAGAAUCGAGUCUAACACGAAAAAAAGGGGGGGGGUUGAAAAGGUUUUUGCAAAAAUUAAAGAACUCAAUAUAAAGACAUAGAUGCAAACAAACUAAUUUAAGCUAGCAUGGUAAUUAAACUAACACUAUUAAAAACCUUAGGCAACAUUCAAACAAAAUAAAAUAAAAUACUAGACCCCAACAAGACAACAAACAACUACCCAACACAGUUAAAUUAAUUUAAAUGCAAAAAUAAAUUAGAGAAAUCAAGAGCAACCAAUCCUAUUAUGCAAAUUAAUGCAAAACAAAGGAAUAAUUAAACAUGCUU
This 1306-nucleotide long non-coding RNA is filed under the name Vigna radiata. Its description in RNAcentral is "long non-coding RNA (VRAD_LNC014449)". Lineage: Eukaryota; Viridiplantae; Streptophyta; Magnoliopsida; Fabales; Fabaceae. The record is from RNAcentral.